This 483-nucleotide ribosomal RNA is filed under the name Lygodactylus sp. WME20. Its description in RNAcentral is "partial 16S ribosomal RNA". It matches the Rfam family "Bacterial large subunit ribosomal RNA", at positions 1928 to 2597 of the family's 2925-position model. Lineage: Eukaryota; Metazoa; Chordata; Lepidosauria; Squamata; Gekkonidae. The record is from RNAcentral.
CGGCCGCGGUAUCCUAACCGUGCAAAGGUAGCGCAAUCACUUGCCCCUUAAAUGAGGGCUAGUAUGAACGGUUACAUGAAGGUACAACUGUCUCCUUAGGUCAGCCCAUGAACUUGAUAAUUCAGUACAAAUGCUGAAAUAUUACCAUAAGACGAGAAGACCCUGUGGAACUUCUAAACCAACUGCUAGCAGCACAUCAACCAAACAGGCUCUACCUAGCACAGGUUUUAAGUUGGGGCAACUACGGAGUACAACAAAACCUCCAUGAAACACGACUAACACCCGCACCCCAGGCCCACACGCCCAUAACCACAAAAUAGACCCAGUAGUACUGAUUUACGAACCAAGCUACCCCAGGGAUAACAGCGCCAUCCCCUUUAAGAGUCCCUAUCGCCAAGGGGGUUUACGACCUCGAUGUUGGAUCAGGACACCCCGGCGGUGUAGCCGCUGCCAACGGUUCGUUUGUUCAACGAAUAACGUCCU